This is a small nuclear RNA of Choloepus hoffmanni (Hoffmann's two-fingered sloth), 162 nucleotides long. Its record names the gene U1. It matches the Rfam family "U1 spliceosomal RNA". From Rfam's summary of the family: U1 is a small nuclear RNA (snRNA) component of the spliceosome (involved in pre-mRNA splicing). Its 5' end forms complementary base pairs with the 5' splice junction, thus defining the 5' donor site of an intron. There are significant differences in sequence and secondary structure between metazoan and yeast U1 snRNAs, the latter being much longer (568 nucleotides as compared to 164 nucleotides in human). NCBI's taxonomy places the organism in Eukaryota, Metazoa, Chordata, Mammalia, Pilosa, Megalonychidae. The record is from Ensembl.
AUACUUACCUGGCAGGGAGACACCAUGAUCAUGGGUGUGGUAUUCCCAGGGUGAGGCUUAUCCAUUGCACUCCGGAUGUGCUGACCCCUCGAUACCCCCCAAAAUGGGAAGCUUGACUGCCUAAUUUGUGGUAGUGGGGGACUGCAUUCGUGCUCUCCCCUA